CUGACCCAGACUGUCUACCGCAAAGUAACCGCACACAAAGUGCAUGCCAGCGGGGCCACGCGUCGGCGGCCAUUCCCGCGACGCCCUCUGCGGGCCGCGCUGCGAGCCCCGCCACGUGUGUCAUGGCUACUGUGCCAUCAGUGAUCUCAGUCUGCUGGUUCCCGGCUUUCUCGUGUCGUCAGUCCCUUAGCCGCAUGCACGCUGUUCCUUGAGGCUCAGGCGGACUCGUUGGUACAAAUCCUCAUCGUCCUGUCUUCACCCUCGUCCUGUUGUCCUGAAGUGACGCCAAUGUAGAUGAUGUCUCCCUCGCCCGGCGCCCGCAACGUGACAACUUCGUGUGCGGGAGUGCGGGCGAGGGGCAGGCCAGGUGAGGGAAGCAUCGCGGCACAGCGUGGCGGCUCAGCGGCGCCUCAAAGAACGUGUCAAAGUCAGGCCGCGCCGCUGAGCCUGAGUGACGCGCCUCUGAUACUCGCCGUGGCCGCGCUUUGGCGUCCGGAUGUGGCGGAUGCCGCGAGGAUUGUGAGGAGUGGCGAGGGACACGGGGCUGACGGCACCAGCGGGCCUCACCUGGGCCGUGGGUAUAAUUUCCCCGCCCCAGGCCUGCCAUUCACCGCCCGGGGCACCGCCGGCCACGGAAAGGUAAAUGGGAGUUGUA
Molecule: long non-coding RNA, 655 nt
Organism: Eriocheir sinensis (Chinese mitten crab)
Lineage: Eukaryota; Metazoa; Arthropoda; Malacostraca; Decapoda; Varunidae
Exons: 4
Source: RefSeq, a predicted model, not a curated record